Molecule: ribosomal RNA, 370 nt
Filed under: uncultured eukaryote
Lineage: Eukaryota
Description: SSU rRNA
Rfam family: Eukaryotic small subunit ribosomal RNA
Source: RNAcentral
AGCUCCAAUAGCGUAUAUUAAAGUUGUUGCAGUUAAAAAGCUCGUAGUUGGACUUCUGGGAGGCUCCGCGAAGAGGCCCGCAGGGCCGCCUGAACGGACCUCUCAUCCUGCUGUUAGCGGUCGUUGCUUCACGGCGCGGCCGGGCUCAGCUACUUUACCUUGAGAAAAUUAGAGUGUUUCAGGCAGGACUUGUCCGGAAUACAUUAGCAUGGAAUAAUGGAAUAGGACUACGGUCUCCUUUUUGGUUUGAGGGACUAUAGUAAUGAUUAAUAGGGAUAGUUGGGGGCAUUAGUAUUCGACUGUCAGAGGUGGAAUUCUCGGAUUUGUUGAAGACUAACUUAUGCGAAAGCAUUUGCCAAGGAUGUUUUCA